This 449-nucleotide ribosomal RNA is filed under the name uncultured bacterium. RNAcentral describes it as "partial 16S ribosomal RNA". It matches the Rfam family "Bacterial small subunit ribosomal RNA", at positions 29 to 523 of the family's 1533-position model. The record is from RNAcentral.
AACGAACGCUGGCGGCAGGCCUAACACAUGCAAGUCGAGCGCCCUUUCGGGGGAGCGGCGGACGGGUGAGUAACGCGUGGGAAUAUGCCCUUCUCUACGGAAUAGCCUCGGGAAACUGAGAGUAAUACCGUAUACGCCCUUAGGGGGAAAGAUUUAUCGGGGAAGGAUUAGCCCGCGUUGGAUUAGGUAGUUGGUGGGGUAAUGGCCUACCAAGCCGACGAUCCAUAGCUGGUUUGAGAGGAUGAUCAGCCACACUGGGACUGAGACACGGCCCAGACUCCUACGGGAGGCAGCAGUGGGGAAUCUUAGACAAUGGGGGCAACCCUGAUCUAGCCAUGCCGCGUGAGUGAUGAAGGCCUUAGGGUUGUAAACUGCUUUUUCGUCCGGGACGAUAAUGACGGUACCGGAAGAAGAAGCCCCGGCUAACUUCGUGCCAGCCGCCGCCGUAA